Molecule: ribosomal RNA, 450 nt
Filed under: uncultured bacterium
Lineage: Bacteria
Description: partial 16S ribosomal RNA
Rfam family: Bacterial small subunit ribosomal RNA
Source: RNAcentral
GUAAGGAAUAUUGGACAAUGGGCGAAAGCCUGAUCCAGCCAUGCCGCGUGUGUGAAGAAGGUCUUCGGAUUGUAAAGCACUUUAAGUUGGGAGGAAGGGCAGUAAGUUAAUACCUUGCUGUUUUGACGUUACCGACAGAAUAAGCACCGGCUAACUUCGUGCCAGCAGCCACGGUAAUACGAAGGGUGCAAGCGUUAAUCGGAAUUACUGGGCGUAAAGCGCGCGUAGGUGGUUUUGUAAGUUGGAGGUGAAAUCCCCGGGCUCAACCUGGGAACUGCCUCCAAAACUGCAUGACUAGAGUACGGUAGAGGGUAGUGGAAUUUCCUGUGUAGCGGUGAAAUGCGUAGAUAUAGGAAGGAACACCAGUGGCGAAGGCGACUACCUGGACUGAUACUGACACUGAGGUGCGAAAGCGUGGGGAGCAAACAGGAUUAGAAACCCCGGUAGUCC